AUUGAACGCUGGCGGCAGGCCUAGCACAUGCAAGUCGAGCGGAUGAAGGGAGCUUGCUCCUGGAUUCAGCGGCGGACGGGUGAGUAAUGCCUAGGAAUCUGCCUGGUAGUGGGGGAUAACGUCCGGAAACGGGCGCUAAUACCGCAUACGUCCUGAGGGAGAAAGUGGGGGAUCUUCGGACCUCACGCUAUCAGAUGAGCCUAGGUCGGAUUAGCUAGUUGGUGGGGUAAAGGCCUACCAAGGCGACGAUCCGUAACUGGUCUGAGAGGAUGAUCAGUCACACUGGAACUGAGACACGGUCCAGACUCCUACGGGAGGCAGCAGUGGGGAAUAUUGGACAAUGGGCGAAAGCCUGAUCCAGCCAUGCCGCGUGUGUGAAGAAGGUCUUCGGAUUGUAAAGCACCUUAAGUUGGGAGGAAGGGCAGUAAGUUAAUACCUUGCUGUUUUGACGUUACCAACAGAAUAAGCACCGGCUAACUUCGUG
Molecule: ribosomal RNA, 484 nt
Filed under: uncultured bacterium
Lineage: Bacteria
Description: partial 16S ribosomal RNA
Rfam family: Bacterial small subunit ribosomal RNA
Source: RNAcentral